GAUGAACGCUGGCGAGAUGCUUUACACAUGCAAGUCGUACGAGAGUCUUUGACUCAAGUGGCGGACGGGUGAGUAACACGUAAGAAUUUGCCUUUAGGAGGGGGACAACAACUGGAAACGGUUGCUAAUACCCCAUAUGCUUUCGAGUGAAAUGGAUUUUUCCGCCUAGAGAGAAGCUUGCGGCUGAUUAGCUUGUUGGUGAGGUAAUGGCUCACCAAGGCGACGAUCAGUAUCUGGUUUGAGAGGACGAUCAGACACACUGGAACUGAGACACGGUCCAGACUCCUACGGGAGGCAGCAGUGGGGAAUUUUCCGCAAUGGGCGAAAGCCUGACGGAGCAAUCUCGCGUGAGGGAUGACUGCCUAUGGGUUGUAAACCUCUUUUUUCAGGGAGGAAUAAAUGACGUGUACCUGAAGAAUAAGCAUCGGCUAACUCCGUGCCAGCCGCCGCCGUAACAC
Molecule: ribosomal RNA, 458 nt
Filed under: uncultured bacterium
Lineage: Bacteria
Description: bacterial SSU rRNA
Rfam family: Bacterial small subunit ribosomal RNA
Source: RNAcentral